GAAGUCAAGCGUGGGUGGAGCCU
This 23-nucleotide microRNA is filed under the name Lepisosteus oculatus (spotted gar). RNAcentral's name for it is "Loc-Mir-551-P1_5p (mature (co-guide))". Lineage: Eukaryota; Metazoa; Chordata; Actinopteri; Semionotiformes; Lepisosteidae. The record is from RNAcentral.